UGCAAACUGUGCAGUGGUGAUGGAAUU
RNAcentral lists this non-coding RNA (27 nucleotides) under Homo sapiens (human). The record is from RNAcentral. Lineage: Eukaryota; Metazoa; Chordata; Mammalia; Primates; Hominidae.